CCCACGGGUGGCAGCAGUGGGGAAUAUUGGACAAUGGGGGCAACCCUGAUCCAGCCAUGCCGCGUGUGUGAAGAAGGCCCUCGGGUUGUAAAGCACUUUCAGUGAGGAAGAACGCCUGGUGGUUAAUACCCAUCAGGAAAGACAUCACUCACAGAAGAAGCACCGGCUAACUCCGUGCCAGCAGCCGCGGUAAUACGGAGGGUGCGAGCGUUAAUCGGAAUUACUGGGCGUAAAGCGCGCGUAGGUGGCUUGAUAAGCCGGUUGUGAAAGCCCCGGGCUCAACCUGGGAACGGCAUCCGGAACUGUCAAGCUAGAGUGCAGGAGAGGAAGGUAGAAUUCCCGGUGUAGCGGUGAAAUGCGUAGAGAUCGGGAGGAAUACCAGUGGCGAAGGCGGCCUUCUGGACUGACACUGACACUGAGGUGCGAAAGCGUGGGUAGCAAACAGGAUUAGAUACCCGAGUAGUC
Molecule: ribosomal RNA, 465 nt
Filed under: Vreelandella stevensii
Lineage: Bacteria; Pseudomonadati; Pseudomonadota; Gammaproteobacteria; Oceanospirillales; Halomonadaceae
Description: partial 16S ribosomal RNA
Rfam family: Bacterial small subunit ribosomal RNA
Source: RNAcentral